Molecule: ribosomal RNA, 818 nt
Filed under: Mammaliicoccus sciuri
Lineage: Bacteria; Bacillati; Bacillota; Bacilli; Caryophanales; Staphylococcaceae
Description: bacterial SSU rRNA
Rfam family: Bacterial small subunit ribosomal RNA
Source: RNAcentral
AGUAACACGUGGGUAACCUACCUAUAAGACUGGGAUAACUCCGGGAAACCGGGGCUAAUACCGGAUAAUAUUUUGAACCGCAUGGUUCAAUAGUGAAAGACGGUUUCGGCUGUCACUUAUAGAUGGACCCGCGCCGUAUUAGCUAGUUGGUAAGGUAACGGCUUACCAAGGCGACGAUACGUAGCCGACCUGAGAGGGUGAUCGGCCACACUGGAACUGAGACACGGUCCAGACUCCUACGGGAGGCAGCAGUAGGGAAUCUUCCGCAAUGGGCGAAAGCCUGACGGAGCAACGCCGCGUGAGUGAUGAAGGUCUUCGGAUCGUAAAACUCUGUUGUUAGGGAAGAACAAAUUUGUUAGUAACUGAACAAGUCUUGACGGUACCUAACCAGAAAGCCACGGCUAACUACGUGCCAGCAGCCGCGGUAAUACGUAGGUGGCAAGCGUUAUCCGGAAUUAUUGGGCGUAAAGCGCGCGUAGGCGGUUUCUUAAGUCUGAUGUGAAAGCCCACGGCUCAACCGUGGAGGGUCAUUGGAAACUGGGAAACUUGAGUGCAGAAGAGGAGAGUGGAAUUCCAUGUGUAGCGGUGAAAUGCGCAGAGAUAUGGAGGAACACCAGUGGCGAAGGCGGCUCUCUGGUCUGUAACUGACGCUGAUGUGCGAAAGCGUGGGGAUCAAACAGGAUUAGAUACCCUGGUAGUCCACGCCGUAAACGAUGAGUGCUAAGUGUUAGGGGUUUCCGCCCCUUAGUGCUGCAGCUAACGCAUUAAGCACUCCGCCUGGGGAGUACGACCGCAAGGUUGAAACUCAAAGGAAUUGA